Molecule: small nucleolar RNA, 139 nt
Organism: Alnus glutinosa
Lineage: Eukaryota; Viridiplantae; Streptophyta; Magnoliopsida; Fagales; Betulaceae
Product: small nucleolar RNA Z247
Exons: 1
Source: RefSeq, a predicted model, not a curated record
ACUAUUGAUGAUGAUGAUCUCAUCUCAUAUGUCAUUGGUGGUUUGAAUUCUUCUUUCAAUGCUUUUGUCACUGUUGUCUCCUUUAAUACUCAAAUCAAGCCACUAACAUUUGAUGAUUUCCAAAAUGAGCUUUUGAAUC